Non-coding RNA from Ixodes scapularis (black-legged tick), 73 nucleotides. The record is from Rfam. Lineage: Eukaryota; Metazoa; Arthropoda; Arachnida; Ixodida; Ixodidae.
CCCUGGUUAGGUCAUCUGGUAAAGCGCUCCACCUGUACUGGAGAGGUCCCGGGUUCGAUACCUGGACCAGGUG